RNAcentral lists this transfer RNA (67 nucleotides) under Leggadina lakedownensis (Lakeland Downs mouse). Its description in RNAcentral is "tRNA-Thr". Lineage: Eukaryota; Metazoa; Chordata; Mammalia; Rodentia; Muridae. The record is from RNAcentral.
GCCCUGAUAGUAUAGAUAUUACCCUGGUUUUGUAAACCAGAAACGAAGACAUUAAUCUUCUCAAGGC